AGUCGAACGCGAAAGGCCCCUUCGGGGGCCGAGUAGAGUGGCGUCCGGGUGAGUAACACGUGGGUAAUCUACCUUCGGGUGGGGAAUAACGACCGGAAACGGUCGCUAAUACCGCAUAAUGCAGCGGCACCUAAUGGUGACAGUUGUUAAAGCGAGGGAUCGCAAGACCUCGCGCCUGAAGAGGAGCCCGCGGCGGAUUAGCUAGUUGGCAGGGUAACGGCCUACCAAGGCGACGAUCCGUAGCCGGCCUGAGAGGGCGGUCGGCCACACUGGCACUGACACACGGGCCAGACUCCUACGGGAGGCAGCAGUCGGGAAUUUUGGGCAAUGGGCGAAAGCCUGACCCAGCAACGCCGCGUGAAGGAUGAAGCUUUUCGGAGUGUAAACUUCAUAAGAAUGGGACGAAUAAGGAGGGGAUAAUACCCCCUUUGAUGACGGUACCAUUUGUAAGCUCCGGCUAACUCCGUGCCAGCAGCCGCGGUAAUACGGGGGGAGCAAGCGUUGUUCGGAUUUACUGGGCGUAAAGGGCGCGUAGGCGGCGCAACAAGUCACUUGUGAAAUCUCCGGGCUUAACCCGGAGCGGCCAAGUGAUACUGUCGUGCUAGAGUGCGGAAGGGGCUACUGGAAUUCUCGGUGUAGCGGUGAAAUGCGUAGAUAUCGAGAGGAACACCUGCGGCGAAGGCGGGUAGCUGGGCCGACACUGACGCUGAGGCGCGAAAGCCAGGGGAGCGAACGGGAUUAGAUACCCCGGUAGUCCUGGCCUUAAACGAUGGAUGCUUGGUGUCCGAGGUUACAUAGUCCUCGGGUGCCGGCGCUAAC
RNAcentral lists this ribosomal RNA (819 nucleotides) under uncultured Bacillota bacterium. RNAcentral describes it as "bacterial SSU rRNA". It matches the Rfam family "Bacterial small subunit ribosomal RNA", at positions 60 to 856 of the family's 1533-position model. Lineage: Bacteria; Bacillati; Bacillota. The record is from RNAcentral.